Pelobates cultripes (western spadefoot toad) is the source of this 203-nucleotide non-coding RNA. The record is from the annotation of a GenBank genome assembly. Lineage: Eukaryota; Metazoa; Chordata; Amphibia; Anura; Pelobatidae.
GGGUGAACUGGACUUACUUGUUUGCAACUCUGCAGCACAUGGGAUUUGUCCCACACAUGCGAGCAUGGAUGUCAUCACGCUACACGACCACAUCAGCACGCAUUCGGAUCAACGGGGUCCUGUCCCCCCAUUCCCUAUUAGAAAUGUCCCCUCUCCUGUUUGCCUUCUCUCUGGAACCACCUCUGGAGGCGGUCAGAAGGGAC